Molecule: long non-coding RNA, 1313 nt
Filed under: Sus scrofa (pig)
Lineage: Eukaryota; Metazoa; Chordata; Mammalia; Artiodactyla; Suidae
Description: lncRNA (ENSSSCG00070011516.1)
Source: RNAcentral
AUGGAGUUUUACCUCAACACUCUGAUAGACCAGCAGUGCCUUCUGCAUGGGCUGCUGAUGCAGCAGUUGGCAUGGACAUCGGAGAAAAGAUUCAGAGGAUGGAAACUACAAACACUGGGACAUGAAAAAAAUACCACUAAAGCAGCUGAACAUGCUGACGGCAACCUCAAAAUGACUUUUUUGCCAGUUUUUGCUAAAUUACACAUCUUUCCAAAGACAUCCUACAUCAAUCAGCAUUCAGAUUCAACAAGACUAAUAUGGGCCAAGACAACUGUCAGGCAUGCUCAUGUAUUUAGCACAUGUAACUCCCACUACAAACCUUUGGAGUAGGCUUGAUUCCCACAGUAACCCAGCUGAGAACUGGCUUUGCUUUCUUGCUUUGGAGUCAUAGCAUCUCGUAUAUGCCAAUUGACCUGUAUUAGACAAGGAUUUUGUUUUGCUUUGUUUUUCUUACUGCUUUUUAACCAUAAAACCCAGGCAGACAUAAGCAACGGUUCUCCACCUGGGGUGAUUUGACCCUAUUGUUUACCUCUUUUAUUUUUUUAUUGAAGUACAGUUAAGAUAUUAUAUGAGUUUUAGGUAUACAACAUAUUGAUUCAAUAUUUUUAUAGAUUAUACUUCAUUUAAAGCUAUUAUAGAAUAUUGGCUAUUUUCUCCAUGGCGAUAUGUCUUUGCAGCUUAUUUAUUUUAUAGUUAGUAGUUUGUACUUUUUUUUCACUAGCCACAUCCACAGCAUAUGCAAACUCCUGGGCCAGGGAUUGCAACCUAUACUGCAGCAGUGCUGAAUCCUUUCACCCACUGUGCCAGGCCUGGGGUCAAAUCCAUGUCUCCACAGCUGGAGCCACUGCAGUCAGAUUAUUAACCCAUUUUGCCACAGAGGGAACUCCAGUAGUUUGUAUUUUUAAACCCCUACUCCUAGCUUACCACCCCUCCAUCGCUUCCCUCUCAAUACUGAAUCACCAGUUCAUUCUCUAUAGUUGUGAAUCUGUUUGUAUUUUGCAAUGUUCAUUCAUUGUUUAUUUUUUAUAUUUUUAAGAUAUUGCUUUUAUUUUUUAUUUAAUUAGUUUAUUUUUAUUAUAAUUGAUUUAGAAUGUUCUAUCAAUUUCUGCUGUACAGCAAAGCGACCCAGUCAUACAUAUAUAUAUGUGUGUGUGUGUGUGUACACAUUCUUUUUCUCAUUCUUUUUAUCCUUGAGAAUAUGAUAUAAACUGAUUAGAACCAAGUAGGCCCAAGAUGGCAGAUCUAGUUCAGUGGAAUCCUAGAUCAAUGGAAGAGGAUAGAAAGCCCAGAAAUAAACCACAUAUUUAUGGUCA